GGACGAACGCUGGCGGCGUGCUUAACACAUGCAAGUCGAGGGAGAACUCGAGUGGGGUAACCCACUCGGGGGGAGACCGGCGAACGGGUGAGUAACACGUGGGCAACCUGCCCCAGACUCUGGGAUAACUCCGGGAAACCGGGGCUAAUACCGGAUACUCUCGGACCCCCGCAUGAGGGACCGAGGAAAGCUCCGGCGGUCUGGGAUGGGCCCGCGGCCUAUCGGCUUGUUGGUGGGGUAAUGGCCUACCAAGGCUUCGACGGGUAGUUGGCGUGAGAGCGUGGCCAACCACACUGGGACUGAGACACGGCCCAGACUCCUACGGGAGGCAGCAGUGGGGAAUCUUGCGCAAUGGGCGAAAGCCUGACGCAGCGACGCCGCGUGCGGGAUGAAGGCCUUCGGGUUGUAAACCGCUUUCGGGGGGGACGAAGCGAAAGUGACGGUACCCCCAGAAGAAGCCCCGGCUAACUACGUGCCAGCAGCCGCGGUAAGACGUAGGGGGCAAGCGUUGUCCGGAUUUAUUGGGCGUAAAGCGCGCGCAGGCGGCCGGCAAAGUCGGAUGUGAAAAUCCGGGGCUCAACCCCGGACCUGCAUCCGAUACUGGUCGGCUAGAGGCAGGUAGGGGAGAUCGGAAUUCCUGGUGUAGCGGUGAAAUGCGCAGAUAUCAGGAGGAACACCGGUGGCGAAGGCGGAUCUCUGGGCCUGUUCUGACGCUCAGGCGCGAAAGCUAGGGGAGCGAACAGGAUUAGAUACCCUGGUAGUCCUAGCCGUAAACGAUGGGUGCUAGGUGUGGGGGGUAUUGACCCCCUCCGUGCCGCAGCUAACGCAUUAAGCACCCCGCCUGGGGAGUACGGCCGCAAGGCUAAAACUCAAAGGAAUUGACGGGGGCCCGCACAAGCGGCGGAGCAUGUGGCUUAAUUCGACGCAACGCGAAGAACCUUACCAGGGCUUGACAUACAGGGAAAUCCGGCAGAGAUGUCGGGUCCGCAAGGGUCCUGUACAGGUGGUGCAUGGUUGUCGUCAGCUCGUGUCGUGAGAUGUUGGGUUAAGUCCCGCAACGAGCGCAACCCUCGUCCCAUGUUGCCAGCGGGUAACGCCGGGGACUCAUGGGAGACUGCCGGGGUCAACUCGGAGGAAGGUGGGGAUGACGUCAAGUCAUCAUGCCCCUUAUGUCCUGGGCUGCACACAUGCUACAAUGGCCGGUACAAAGGGCUGCUAAGCCGCAAGGUGGAGCGAAUCCCAAAAAGCCGGUCUCAGUUCGGAUUGGGGUCUGCAACUCGGCCCCAUGAAGUCGGAGUCGCUAGUAAUCGCAGAUCAGCAACGCUGCGGUGAUACAAUCCCGGGCAUGUACUCACCGCCCGU
RNAcentral lists this ribosomal RNA (1362 nucleotides) under uncultured bacterium. RNAcentral describes it as "16S ribosomal RNA". It matches the Rfam family "Bacterial small subunit ribosomal RNA", at positions 27 to 1397 of the family's 1533-position model. The record is from RNAcentral.